Molecule: ribosomal RNA, 115 nt
Filed under: Escherichia coli
Lineage: Bacteria; Pseudomonadati; Pseudomonadota; Gammaproteobacteria; Enterobacterales; Enterobacteriaceae
Also listed under: 1 other name
Source: RNAcentral
UGGCGGCCGUAGCGCGGUGGUCCCACCUGACCCCAUGCCGAACUCAGAAGUGAAACGCCGUAGCGCCGAUGGUAGUGUGGGGUCUCCCCAUGCGAGAGUAGGAAACUGCCAGGCA